RNAcentral lists this ribosomal RNA (1153 nucleotides) under Escherichia coli. RNAcentral's name for it is "partial 23S ribosomal RNA". It matches the Rfam family "Bacterial large subunit ribosomal RNA", at positions 1 to 1194 of the family's 2925-position model. RNAcentral also lists the same sequence under 1 other name. Lineage: Bacteria; Pseudomonadati; Pseudomonadota; Gammaproteobacteria; Enterobacterales; Enterobacteriaceae. The record is from RNAcentral.
GUUAAGCGACUAAGCGUACACGGUGGAUGCCCUGGCAGUCAGAGGCGAUGAAGGACGUGCUAAUCUGCGAUAAGCGUCGGUAAGGUGAUAUGAACCGUUAUAACCGGCGAUUUCCGAAUGGGGAAACCCAGUGUGAUUCGUCACACUAUCAUUAACUGAAUCCAUAGGUUAAUGAGGCGAACCGGGGGAACUGAAACAUCUAAGUACCCCGAGGAAAAGAAAUCAACCGAGAUUCCCCCAGUAGCGGCGAGCGAACGGGGAGCAGCCCAGAGCCUGAAUCAGUGUGUGUGUUAGUGGAAGCGUCUGGAAAGGCGCGCGAUACAGGGUGACAGCCCCGUACACAAAAAUGCACAUACUGUGAGCUCGAUGAGUAGGGCGGGACACGUGGUAUCCUGUCUGAAUAUGGGGGGACCAUCCUCCAAGGCUAAAUACUCCUGACUGACCGAUAGUGAACCAGUACCGUGAGGGAAAGGCGAAAAGAACCCCGGCGAGGGGAGUGAAAAAGAACCUGAAACCGUGUACGUACAAGCAGUGGGAGCACAGAGCAAUCUGUGUGACUGCGUACCUUUUGUAUAAUGGGUCAGCGACUUAUAUUCUGUAGCAAGGUUAACCGAAUAGGGGAGCCGAAGGGAAACCGAGUCUUAACUGGGCGUUAAGUUGCAGGGUAUAGACCCGAAACCCGGUGAUCUAGCCAUGGGCAGGUUGAAGGUUGGGUAACACUAACUGGAGGACCGAACCGACUAAUGUUGAAAAAUUAGCGGAUGACUUGUGGCUGGGGGUGAAAGGCCAAUCAAACCGGGAGAUAGCUGGUUCUCCCCGAAAGCUAUUUAGGUAGCGCCUCGUGAAUUCAUCUCCGGGGGUAGAGCACUGUUUCGGCAAGGGGGUCAUCCCGACUUACCAACCCGAUGCAAACUGCGAAUACCGGAGAAUGUUAUCACGGGAGACACACGGCGGGUGCUAACGUCCGUCGUGAAGAGGGAAACAACCCAGACCGCCAGCUAAGGUCCCAAAGUCAUGGUUAAGUGGGAAACGAUGUGGGAAGGCCCAGACAGCCAGGAUGUUGGCUUAGAAGCAGCCAUCAUUUAAAGAAAGCGUAAUAGCUCACUGGUCGAGUCGGCCUGCGCGGAAGAUGUAACGGGGCUAAACCAUGCAC